This 90-nucleotide transfer RNA is filed under the name Pseudobdellovibrionaceae bacterium. Its description in RNAcentral is "Bdellovibrionaceae bacterium (activated sludge metagenome) tRNA-Ser". It matches the Rfam family "tRNA". From Rfam's summary of the family: Transfer RNA (tRNA) molecules are approximately 80 nucleotides in length. Their secondary structure includes four short double-helical elements and three loops (D, anti-codon, and T loops). The record is from RNAcentral. Lineage: Bacteria; Pseudomonadati; Bdellovibrionota; Bdellovibrionia; Bdellovibrionales; Pseudobdellovibrionaceae.
GGAGAGGUGGCCGAGUGGCUGAAGGCGCACGAUUCGAAAUCGUGUUUACGCUAACCCGUAACGAGAGUUCGAAUCUCUCUCUCUCCGCCA